This 338-nucleotide unclassified non-coding RNA is filed under the name soil metagenome. RNAcentral describes it as "partial contains 5.8S ribosomal RNA, internal transcribed spacer 2, and large subunit ribosomal RNA". The stretch from base 1 to 120 matches the Rfam family "5.8S ribosomal RNA", at positions 35 to 154 of the family's 154-position model. The record is from RNAcentral.
GAUGAAGAACGUAGCGAAAUGCGAUAAGUAGUGUGAAUUGCAGAAUUCAGUGAAUCAUCGAAUCUUUGAACGCACAUUGCGCCCCUUGGUAUUCCAUGGGGCAUGCCUGUUCGAGCGUCAUUUACACCCUCAAGCUCUGCUUGGUGUUGGGCGUCUGCCCCGCUGCUUUGCGCGGACUCGCCUCAAAGGUAUUGGCAGCGAUCAUGCCAGCUUCUCGCGCAGCACAUUGCGCUUCUUGAAGUUCUGGUGGAUCAGCGUCCAUUAAGCUUACCUUCAUGACUUGACCUCGGAUCAGGUAGGGAUACCCGCUGAACUUAAGCAUAUCAAUAAGCGGAGGA